Oryza glumipatula is the source of this 274-nucleotide non-coding RNA. The record is from Rfam. NCBI's taxonomy places the organism in Eukaryota, Viridiplantae, Streptophyta, Magnoliopsida, Poales, Poaceae.
GAUUUCAACUGAAAAAGUCAUCAAUAACAAAGUUGUAUAACUCAUCAAGAUCUAUAACUUUUAUUUUGGUUAUUUCUUCAUCCGACAAAGUGAUAGUAACAUUGUUCACAAAAUUCACAUAUCUCUCAUCUGGUUUUAUAAACUAUAAUACAGAUAUGUAAAUUUUAUGAACAAUGUUACUAACCUUUGUCGGAUGAAGAAAUGACAAAAAUAAAAGUUAUAGAUUUUGAUGAGUUAUACAACUUUAUUGUUGUUGACUUUUUUAGUUGAAAUC